GCGGGGAUAGCUCAGUUGGGAGAGCGUCAGACUGAAGGAAAAACUUCGGUUAAAACUUCGGUUCAGUCUAUCUGAAGGUCGUCGGUUCAAUCCCGACUCACCGCA
RNAcentral lists this transfer RNA (105 nucleotides) under Scedosporium apiospermum. It matches the Rfam family "tRNA". From Rfam's summary of the family: Transfer RNA (tRNA) molecules are approximately 80 nucleotides in length. Their secondary structure includes four short double-helical elements and three loops (D, anti-codon, and T loops). The record is from Rfam by way of RNAcentral. Lineage: Eukaryota; Fungi; Ascomycota; Sordariomycetes; Microascales; Microascaceae.